This 442-nucleotide ribosomal RNA is filed under the name uncultured bacterium. Its description in RNAcentral is "partial 16S ribosomal RNA". It matches the Rfam family "Bacterial small subunit ribosomal RNA", at positions 338 to 795 of the family's 1533-position model. The record is from RNAcentral.
CCUACGGGAGGCAGCAGUGGGGAAUAUUGGGCAAUGGGCGAAAGCCUGACCCAGCAACGCCGCGUGAAGGAAGAAGGCUUUCGGGUUGUAAACUUCUUUUGACAGGGAAGAGCAGAAGACGGUACCCGACCAAGAAGCCCCGGCUAACUACGUGCCAGCAGCCGCGGUAAUACGUAGGGGGCGAGCGUUAUCCGGAAUUACUGGGUGUAAAGGGAGCGUAGACGGCGAGGUAAGCCUGAAGUGGAAGCCCGCGGCCCAACCGCGGAACUGCUUUGGGAACUGUGUUGCUGGAGUAUGGGAGGGGUAAGCGGAAUUCCUGGUGUAGCGGUGAAAUGCGUAGAUAUCAGGAGGAACACCGGUGGCGAAGGCGGCUUACUGGACCAUAACUGACGUUGAGGCUCGAAAGCGUGGGGAGCGAACAGGAUUAGAUACCCCAGUAGUC